RNAcentral lists this ribosomal RNA (494 nucleotides) under uncultured bacterium. Its description in RNAcentral is "bacterial SSU rRNA". It matches the Rfam family "Bacterial small subunit ribosomal RNA", at positions 903 to 1397 of the family's 1533-position model. The record is from RNAcentral.
AAAGGAAUAGACGGGGACCCGCACAAGCGGUGGAGCAUGUGCUUUAAUUCGAUGCAACGCGUAGAACCUUACCCGGUCUUGACAUAGUUCUGACAAGUCCAGAGAUGGAUUCUUCAGUAAUGACAGGAUAUACAGAUGCUGCAUGGUUGUCGUCAGCUCGUGUCGUGAGAUGUUGGGUUAAGUCCCGCAACGAGCGCAACCCUUGCCAAUAGUUGCCAGCGAGUUAUGUCGGGGACUCUAUUGGGACUGCCUUCGCAAGGAGGAGGAAGGUGGGGAUGACGUCAAAUCAUCAUGGCUCUUACGACCGGGGCUAGACACGUGCUACAAUGGCGAAUACAAUGAGUCGCUACUUGGUAACAAGAUGCUAAUCUCAAAAAAUUCGUCUCAGUUCGGAUUGAGGUCUGCAACUCGACCUCAUGAAGUUGGAAUCGCUAGUAAUCGCAGGUCAGAAUACCGCGGUGAAUACGUUCCCGGGUCUUGUACACACCGCCCGU